AUGCAUCACCAUGAUCUUGCGUGUGCGUAGGAAAUUUUUUGAAAUUACUACGUUCCCCAACAGCUCUAUGAGUUAAGUAUUUAAAUAAAAUGUUCUCAUCUCUCAUUUUUUUACUUUAAAAGAAUAUAAGUUUCUAUCGCCUGCUCCUCCUUCCGUCAGCCUUAGGUACAUCUCCUUCCCUCAUUGUGUCCAUGUUUUAAUUUUGUUUCCAUCAGUUUUUGUGAAAAUUGCAUAAACUACCUUGCCUCUUGUUUACUUAUGAAUAAAUUCUUUAUUUUUAAUGGAUAAGCCAAUAAAUCCUUAUCAAAUACUAGUAAGUGUUUAUCACAACUCAAAAAAUAAGGAAUGCUUAUCAAUAGGGAAACGCUAGCAAUCUGCUGCUGGAUUAAGCGCACAACGUCCAGCAGACAUGCAUCCUCAUCCAACGGAACAAUAUCUGAAAGCUCAUGUCCACUUGCUCUCUCUCGUUUCAUUUCUUUUCCUCCCAGGAUCUGGUCACUCUCUCCCCCUUUUCUCCAUUCUUGUGUACUCAUCAGAUCGCACGCGGUGCACGACGCUCCUGCCAUGAGAGACAGAGAGGGGUGAGAGAAUGAUGAGGGCAACGCGACCUGACUUUAGGUCCGGCGCUCGCCGAUGGUGGCACGAAUGAAGGGACUGGCGGCACCACUCCUCCCUCACCACCAUGCGGCGCAUCUCAAAAUGCAGCAACACUUCCACCGUUGUAGGCGUCCUCGACCGGGGAGGGGGGGUCAGCUGCAUCGUGCCCCAACAAGGGAUGUUUUCGUUUUUGCAACAAAAGGCAUGUUGCAAUUGCAACAAGGCUCUUGUUGCAAAAGGGUCAUGUUGUAAAAGGGCCAUGUUUCAAUCUUACAAAAAAAUCUGCAACAAGACCUCUGUUGCAGAAAAUACUACAACACCAGUCUUGUUGCAAGAAGGAGGGGGGUCGUGCGCAUGAGCACAUCAGACGGUCAUUACGAGCUCCAUCCAAUGGCCAGGGAGACGAGUGAUUUUUCCCAGUUAUCCACGGCUGACGCGUAGGGUCGCCCUUAUCAACAUAUAAUCAUAUUUAUUUUACGAAAUGCACUCGUUGCACGACAAUUUCUAGAGAAAUAUGGAAAACUCCUAACCCAGCACGAGGUGGGAAACCAAUCUAUUGGUCCUUAAUGGGUGAUGUGGACAGACAAGCCACCUUCCCCAAGUUACAGGAGCCGUGAUCGGAGAUGGACACCCACCUUCUCGCGAGACCGGCCCUGUCUCCCCUCGUGCGUGUGCUCUCUUAGAACCCCAGGACCCGGAAGCAGAAAGAAAACACUCUCCACCGAUGAUGUCAUCGUGCAAACCCCAACCCAGUACCAUCCAGGUGCCUUCCCCAAGUAACGGGCGCCGUGAUCAGAGACGGACGCCCGCCUUGUCGCGAGACCCUGCAUCCCCUCUCUUAAAACCCCAAGCCUUGAAGCAGAAACUUCUAGGCCAUAGAAAAUGUGACUUGCAAGUUGGGUUCAGUAAUAGAAUUAUCAAAGAACCAAAAAUGAUGUUGAUUGUACUUGGUUUGAUUUGGCGCACAUGAGAUGUCCUACCGGUUUCUCAAAUUAAAAAUUGCAUUGGUAUAAACAUUGAAAUCUAUUCAUCAUAGUUUUGAUUAUGAUACUAAGACAUCCAUCAUAUCAUAAAGAGAGACUAGUGCAUUUGAAUCAACUUCACGAGUCAGAUUAGUUUGCCUCCGUAUGGUAUAACCUAUUAGUAUGUAGUAAGUUACAACCUAUUAGUAUGUGAUGUAAACCUACGCUCCUGCAAACUAAAGCUCCAUUCUUUUUAACAAUCACCAGGGGAGAGCAUCUCCACCUGAAUAUAUUACUCAAAAAGCCCCAAGGAGCCAAAGUACACCAGAGAGUACAACAUGAGGAAAGAAACAUGCGUCAAAGAUAAGAAGGCAUCUCUAGUUUGGUCUUUGAACCUAUAGACCCAAAGCGUGAAAUCAUAGAUUACAUUUCGAAGAGUAUCCAAAGUCGAGUGAGUCAGCGGGACACCUGGGCAUUGCGAGAUUCCCAGUUUAGGCAUUUAAUAAUUUUUAGAUGUACUGUACUCCCUCGUUCCUAAAUAUAAAUAUUUUUUAGAGAAUCCAAUAUAGGCUACAUAUGAAGCAAAACGAGUAAAUUUAGACUCUGAAGUAUAUCUAUAUAUGUAGUAAAGACUUGUAUUUAGAGAUGGAGAGAGUAUGAUUUACGGCGCCUGCUAGGCGUCAUCCGGUUGAUAACUUGCAGUUAUAAGCCGCAUUAUCUACCGUCCGAUAUGAUUAAUCAAGGCCAUCAGUUUGUAUCCCCGCAUCACAGCACGCCCACAGCCCCGCGACAUUAACUGAUACAAACCGUUCAAUGGCAGACGCUACCGAGAUCAGAGCGAGCAGCGCUUGCCGUCGGCCGCAUGCAACACGGUCGGUGUCGUGGUGGAGCUGCAAUGGAACAUCGCCGGAGGUCACCGCUGCUGUAAUGGAGCAUCACUUGGCUGACGGUGCCGUGGUGGAGCUGCAAUGAAACAUCACUGCGGGUCGUCGCUGCUACGGUGGAGCGUCACCGGACUGUCGAUGUCGUGGUGCUGUGAUGAAGCAUUGUCGAACCGCCGACGUCGGCGGUGCUUCAUUGCAACCUCGCCGGAGCUUCCAACGACCGCCGCGACGCUUCACUGCAACCUCGCCGGAGCUUCACUGCAACCUCGCCGGAGCUCCAACAACCGUCGUGGCGCUUCAUUGCAACCUCAGUCGUGCUCCAUGGUAGCACCCCGACGGCCGCCGGCGAAGCUUCAUUGCAGUGUCACCACCACCACGCAGCCGUGCUCCAUCGCAGCACCGCUGCCCGCCUGCUCCGUCAAAGCUCCACUGCAGCACCAGACGGGUGCCGACGAAGCUUCACUGCAGCGCAACGCGAUGGCGUCGAGGUGCUGCGGCGAAUCAGGCGACCGCGAUGGCGGAUGUUGUGACACAACAGUGCGGCGAGCCGGCGAUGGCGAUGCUGCGAUGCAGACGCGGUGGCGACAGAGCUCUCGAGGCCCGAUGUUGUGAUGCUCCUCUCCUCAACCUCCCCACUGCAGCAUGUGCGGCGAGUGGUGACCCGCCUCCAACACCAUCGUCUUCUGCAGCUCCGAUGGCCACACCGUACCCUCGCCCCCCUUUGGAGCAGCGAUGCCCUGCGAUGGAUCUCUCACAUGGGUCCUAGGAUUUGUGUUGGAGCUUCGUCGGAGGGAGAGAAGGUGAGCAGGAAGGUUGUUGGCGCCGGCGGCAUGGCUCUGGCGGUGGGUUGGACGGGAUUGAGGGGUGAGAGAGAGGGGGAGGAGAUGGAACAGAGAAGAGAUGGGGAUGAAGAUAAGCGCUCCAGGGAAGACCAGAUCCUUCGGCAAAGAGAUAAGGUGGAGGACGCGUGGGCAUGUGGGCCUGUGGGACACGUGGGUGAUGUGAACGAGGUUUACGAGAGAUAGAAAUCAUCCGGUUGAUUGUAAACGUUUUCCUUUACUAAAAAUAGUAAGUAUGCACGUACAACGCACCUCUUAAUUGUCAUCAAAUAAUUAUUAAAAUAGUUUAUCAUCUACUCCCUCCGUCCCAUAAUAUAAGAUCGUUUUUGAAGCUAACAUAGCUUGAAAAACGUUCUUAUAUUAUGGGACAGAGGGAGUAGUAUACAUGUAUUAUUACUGAUAAUAAUUUUUUUGGGAUGGAAACACAACUAAAUGACGAACAAAUAAAGGGCAUGCAAAUAAGUUCAAGAUCAAUAAAUUUAUGUAACAUAUGAUGCUAGUACCUAGUAAUUAGGUAUAAGCUAUUUUUGUAGCCAUAUCAUCUUGAUUCUACCCUCUGCCCCAUCAUAAAAAUUGACAUCACACAUGGCUGCAACAAUUUCGACAUGAUGAGUACGUUGCCUCUCCUGUCUCACACAUGCCCUUGUUUCGUCAUAUCAUAGAAGAAAAACAGUUCCGUUAUCAGUAAGAUUGAAAAGAGUCAAGCCAUAGCAAAUGGACAAGCUGAUUUCUUCAUCAUGAAAUUUUAUGAUUUGAAAUAGUUACUAAAUAUGUAAUGUUUAGUCCAGCAGCCAAAUGUGCUUAUACCCCUCAGUUGUAUACAUUUUUGCUUCACUCAUGGUUCAGUGCCAUGAUGGCAUAAAAGAUAUAUUAGAAAAACUCGAAUACAUAUAUGUAGUAAUGCAUCGUGCGGGAAGAUGGAUUCAUGCAUAAUUAACAGAUACCCAAAGCAAUUAUGAAAAAACAUGAAAGGACGGAUUAACCAUUGUUACAUCCCAAAUUAGUGAGAAUAUUUGUAAAUUGUAGAAGAAAAAGGUACAACUAUCAAAAUAAAACAAAACUUGAAUCUUGGUUCAUUAAAAAGUAACUUACCCUACAGUCUAAUCAUAGAACAACACAUAAGUAAACAACUUCUUGUUUUCUAAAGAGGAUGAAUUUCAUUGGCAGCAUGUCUGAACUAUCAUAAGAAAAUUAGUCUGAACUCCUAAAAUUUGUUACUCAAGAAAUCAUCUGCAGGCCCCUGAAAUUUUGCUAUGCAUUUUUUGGAAGAGAAGAGCACUAUAUCAUAUCCGCAGUACUGUGCAAUAGUUUGUUUCUUGGGCCUAAACAAAAGCAAAACUUCCUCUAGACACUUGCCUGAUGUAAGAGGGGAAGAAACUUUCAUAAUUUCAAAAUGGAGGACAAUUCACACUUGCCUUUUUUUUGCAAACAAAGGGAUUGUCUAUGUGGGCGGACUGGUGGAGACAUCUUUGAAGAAAAACUCACCUCUAUUUUUUUUACACAAAAUGAAACUGACCGUGCACCUUAAAUAUGUGCAAGCUAGUUGUGUAUUUCAUCGAUUGUUCAAGGAGAAGGCAUCGAGGAAGGAACCUCCUUGAUGAUAAUACAACCUAGUCAAUCAGAAGAUAAUUCUUUUUUUAUUUGGACAAGCCGCACUCACUCACAAUUUCUCUGGUGAGUCACUGUCAACACGGAGUACGUGUAUACAGUAUUAACGAAAGAAAAACAAUCUGGUCACUUCCCCACCGCCCCCUCGCAUCUCCUUGCCGUUCCCCAUUCUCCCAUGGUCGCCCCUGCUCCUCCUCCCCUUAGGAUGCGUUUGGUUGCAGGGCUAUCCUUCCAGGGACAGGGAUAGCCCCUUUUUACAGUGGUUGCCACUCGUUUGGAUCUGAGGCAAAGAGGGAUAGAGGCAGCCAGAUGCUUCGAAUAUUCCCGAAAAUCGGGGCUGUGGGCAGCCGCGAAAAAGCGGCGGGUCGCGGCAACCACCCCCACGCGCACUCGCGAAACGUUUUUUCUGGCUAUUGACUCGUCCUCACCCCCUCCCGAGCACAUGAAACCUCACUUUCCCAUUACUCGAGCUCGCCUCUCUCGCUCGUGCAUGGCGACAUCGACGGCGUGGCGGCGGCGGCAUCUAGCAGAGAGGUCGGCCGUUCCGGAGGCUGCACACUGGAGAUGCAGGACAGGGUUUGAGGCGGCGGCACGGUUGGAUCUCGAGAUGGCCGGCGACUGGAUCUCAAGGAGGCAGGCGGCGGCGCGGCUAGAUCUCGAGGAGCCAGGCGGCUGGGCCCUGAGGAGAAGCGGCGCCGGUGAUUGAGGGUGGAGCGGCGGCUACGUGCAUGGGGCUGGUCCGCUGGUGGAUGCGUGAGACAAUGAAUCUGUAUUUCUGCUGCUGUGUAGUUUUCCUGCUACUGUAUUUUUCGCUUGUGUAGUUUUCCUACUACUAUAUUUUCUGCUGCUGUAUGCACAGUUGCGGUGCCUGCUAUUGAGGCAUGUUUGAUGUGUGGUGUGCCUGUGUUGGUGCUCAAUGCAAAAUGCAGAUUAUGGGCUAAUCUCAUCAUCUCAAGCAAAAAUAUCAUCACAACCCUUAUUAUUCAUCCCUUGAACCAAACACUUCAGUGGCUAUCCUCAACCAGCCAACCAAACAAAAACAAGGGCUAUCCCUAACCAGCUGGUUGGGGAUACCCACAACCACCCUAGCCUAUCCCUCAAACCAAACACAUCCUUAAUGUCGAAUCCGGCCGUGGAACUGGCCGUCGGAGGCGUGGGACUCGCACACCCCUGCUCUUCCCUGCUCCUUCAUCGAAUUCGGUCGCCGAAGUGACCGAGGCGGUGCUCGAGCUCGGCAUGCUCGCCCGGACGCCGAGGCUCCUCCCUCCUCCUGAUUUAGUAAACAUCGCCGCCGCCGCCAUGAGCCUCUCCACCCUCUCCCGCGCUCGUCCCAGUUCCAGGUUACUCUAUCUCUCCGACCCCGCCGCCUGCUCCUCCCCGUCAAUUCGGUUCAUCAACAGGUGCAUCACCUCACUCCGUGCAAUGUUCGGACCCCUAGGGUUAUCUGCUCGGGGGCCAUGGCGUGUUCCACGCGGUGCUGCCUUCGCCGCCGCCGCCGAUCGGCGGUGAGGGCGCUGGCUUGUGUCUCGUGGGUCGCUGCCUGACUUCCGGUCUGGGGAGACGGGCUUCAUUGGCCAAUAAAUAGGGACGGGAAGGUCCGAGACUGGAGGUCCCUGCUCGCAAACUCGCAAUCCCGGCAGCUAUUCUACUACCAAUCGAAAAAGAUUUCAUGAAGGAGAAGAAGAAGGCGCCGAAAGGGAAUGGGAGCAACAAGUCUGAAUGGACGGGUAUGUUUUGAUUGUGAGUUGCAUUGCACUUUAUUUUUAUAGUUUGGGAAAUCCUUGGGGUUGCCUAUGGAACGUUUCCUUGAUGUGAUGGUUGGGCAUAUUUGUUUACUAAAUCAAAGUUCCAGUUUACCUUCAUCGACAACUUUAAAUAUUUCUUACACGUCUUACCACAAGCAUAUAUACUUCAAAAACAUUUAUUCUAAACCGGUUCAUGAUAGAUCAACAAAACCUCGUUGACGCUCUCACCUAAUAGGAUAUCUACAUGAAAGAAGAAUAUCGUAUAACUGCAUAGUUCCAACAAGAAGACAUUCAAAUGCACCAUUUUACACUCUGGAAUCAGGAAGUGCAACUUCUUUAGUGUUUAGAAUGGAUCAGGUUACAUGUUUUGUUUUCAAUGUUAAAUAAAUAGUAAGCUUGCAAGUGCAACACAUGUAUUAUCAUGUGAAAACAAUUAGCAUUCAUCAUACAAAGAUAAUAUAUCAAUAAAAUGAUGAAAAUACAUUGAUGUACCAACAUAAGAGAGGCAAUAGAGAUGUUUAAAAAUGUUGUAACACACCAAAAAAAUUACACGUACUAAAACCCUAGUGAACAUAUUGCCAAACCUUUGUAUUCAAGUUUUUCCUAUCAAAUAGGUAAUGCCGAGAACCAAUUUUUUUUGUAAUUACACACAUGGGAAAUUCGCAAAGAAGCGCAUCAUUCAUCAUAAUCAACUCCAUAUUAUUAGGAAAAAUCUAAAAGGCUUGAAACAUAAACCAAUGCAUCUAUCCACAAAAUAAGCUCUGCUUCAUGACACCGACCAAUGAGUACAAAGAAUUGUUAUGAUGACACUAAUAGGGCAUCUUGCAAUAUAACAGAAAAUCAUUCAAGUCUAUCAUGUAUAUUUAGGAAAAAAGCAAAUAUUGCAAUAACUUUUUGUGAUGAAGUAAUACAAAAGAGGUUCUGGAACAUACUCCUUGGCUUCUUCUAAGGCUCAGUAGAAGCAUGCUUGCUUGCAUUCAUUGCAAUCAACCUUCCACUCAAAUCCUUUUAACCAAAAGGGAGCUUGCUGCCCCAAACGAGUAGUAACAAACACUUUUCUGUUGGGAAAUGUUUCACGCUGAAAUAUAAUCUCAAGGAAUCACUUUCAUAGAAGAAUUUUGUGUUCUAGUUUGAUGAGGGAUGCAUUAGUUAAAAUUUCAAAACAAGCUAUUUCAGUUACACCAGUGUUCCAUAUUUUACUGUACUACUAUUUUCUGCUAUGUACUUUAUUAUAACGGUUUCCUUCACAUACUUCCAGUUUGCAACUUCGGUUAUACUAAUGUUACAAACACAAACAAAUAAAAAUACCUGGUUGUACUUGAAUUUUGUGUUGUUGUCCCUCCUUUUUCAUUUAUCUAAACUGCAAUGGACUCCGUUAUAAACACUGAAGCAGUGUACAAAGCUAUCACUGAAGCACUAUAUAAAGCUAUCACAUUGCUAUUCCAUUUUUGCUGAAGUGUUUUUUCAACCACAACUUAGUUCUGUACUUCUUGUUAAAAAUAUCCACCCGGUGAUUUUUUUAUAUCUUCAUAAUAAUACCUAUCCUCUAAUUGCUGGUGCGCUGUAGUGAGAUUCAAAUUUGGAGCAAUACAUCUUGCCCAGUUUCACCUGUGGAAACCCUCUUUUAAGGUCAAGAUCCCUACAAAGAUCAAAAUGAUAGAAGAUCCGGUGUGCUGGCACUAAUGCAGAGCGUGGCGCAGAUGGGCUGGGUCCUCGGCCCAUCAUCCUUAUUGUCUGCGCCUACAUCACCUACUACAUCGUUGUCCUCAUCUCCGACUACUACCGCUCGCCGGAACCCAUCCAUGGCAAACGGAACUAUACACCUGUACAUGGACGCCGUCCGCUCCUGCCUCGGGCCUACAGAUGUAGCUGUGUGUGGCAAUGCACAGUACACAGUUGUCUAUGCAUCACAGUUGGCACGGGCAUCAUGUCUGUGGUGCCCAGCAACUGCCGCCAUUAAAAGGGCCACGACGCGAACUGCAGCAGGAUGGGGCGAUGUACCUGGUGAUGUUCCGCCUUGCCGAGGUCGUCCUCUCAUAGUUCCCGGGCCUGGAGAUCGGCCACCUUUGUCUCCAUCAUCGCCGUUAUCAUGUCCUUCACCUACUCCUUCAUCGCGUUCUUCCUGAGUGUGCGACCUGCGCGCAAGGAUAGGCCAGUGGCGGUGUACAGCCACUUGCAUCGGUCGGCGGCCAAACGAAGGAGCGGUGGGUGGUGACCUGUGCGUAAGGAGAGGCCGGCCAGCGGCGGCGGGGGCGGAGGCCAACGCAGAUCAAUGGCGACAAGGGAAAAAGAGGCAAGGCAAGCGUCGGCGGUGGUGGAGGAGGAGGGUCAGGCGGCGACCUGUGGGGCGGCGACCCUCGAGGGAGUAGGAGCAUCCGGCGGGCAGAGGCAGGCGGCAUGCGUCGCGGGGUAGUUGUUUUGAGGCGAUCUGAUUGCGAUCAGUUUCCUGUUUUCCUGGCUUGCGUGAUCGUAGGGCUUGCAGAGGUGGGACGGCAGAGUUUUUGUCCGCCGAGGAAAAUUGCUAAGCGCAGUUUUGCCUGAGGGUUAGUCUAAUCUUAAUGGUUAGAUCUAAUUAAAUAAUCUGAUCGUGAGGUUGUAAUUGGUCCAUGAUGUUUUGUGUAGUUUAGGCUGGGUAUAUUUAGCAAUGAAUAUGUUUGCUUGUUUAAUAGUAGUAUAGAAGUAUAGAUAAUUGUA
This is a long non-coding RNA of Triticum dicoccoides, 9329 nucleotides long. RefSeq lists it as uncharacterized. The record is from RefSeq and is a predicted model, not a curated record. Lineage: Eukaryota; Viridiplantae; Streptophyta; Magnoliopsida; Poales; Poaceae. The transcript has 4 exons.